GAUGAAGAAUGUAGCGAAAUGCGAUAAGUAAUGCGAAUUGCAGAAUUCAGUGAAUCAUCGAAUCUUUGAACGCACAUUGCGCCCGCUAGUAUUCUGGCGGGCAUGCCUGUCUGAGCGUCAUUUCAACCCUCGCCCCCGGCUUUUGCUGGGAGCGGUGUUGGGGAUCGGCCGCCCGUCACUGGGAGGCCGGCCCCGAAAUAGAGUGGCGACCACGCCGUGUGCUCCUCUGCGUAGUAGUAAAUCACCUCGCAGGCGGACAGCGGUGCGGCCUGCCGUAAAACCCCCAACUCUUUCUGGUUGACCUCAGAUCAGGUAGGAAUACCCGCUGAACUUAAGCAUAUCAAUAAGCGGAGGA
This 355-nucleotide unclassified non-coding RNA is filed under the name soil metagenome. RNAcentral describes it as "partial contains 5.8S ribosomal RNA, internal transcribed spacer 2, and large subunit ribosomal RNA". The stretch from base 1 to 120 matches the Rfam family "5.8S ribosomal RNA", at positions 35 to 154 of the family's 154-position model. The record is from RNAcentral.